RNAcentral lists this unclassified non-coding RNA (203 nucleotides) under Hevea brasiliensis (rubber tree). The record is from RNAcentral. Lineage: Eukaryota; Viridiplantae; Streptophyta; Magnoliopsida; Malpighiales; Euphorbiaceae.
UGAGAGGAAUUCAUAGUUCUCCUGUAUGUCAAAAAUGAGAAAGCAUUUUCCAAAAUCCUUAAUGCAAAACCUUGCGGAAUGAAAUGACCAAAAAGAUCAGGUCACUGUCAAUUUGAAACUGGUAAAUGUAAAGCAUAUUACUCUUACUGGUAAUCCAUCACAAGUUCUCAAUCAAUUUGACAAUCUUAGAAGUGAAGGCUUUA